Molecule: ribosomal RNA, 812 nt
Filed under: uncultured bacterium
Lineage: Bacteria
Description: bacterial SSU rRNA
Rfam family: Bacterial small subunit ribosomal RNA
Source: RNAcentral
GGGGAAUAUUGGACAAUGGGGGAAACCCUGAUCCAGCCAUGCCGCGUGUGUGAAGAAGGCCUUUUGGUUGUAAAGCACUUUAAGCAGUGAAGAAGACUCCUCGGUUAAUACCCGUGGACGAUGACAUUAGCUGCAGAAUAAGCACCGGCUAACUCUGUGCCAGCAGCCGCGGUAAUACAGAGGGUGCAAGCGUUAAUCGGAAUUACUGGGCGUAAAGCGAGCGUAGGUGGCUUGAUAAGUCAGAUGUGAAAUCCCCGGGCUUAACCUGGGAACUGCAUCUGAAACUGUUAGGCUAGAGUAGGUGAGAGGGAGGUAGAAUUUCAGGUGUAGCGGUGAAAUGCGUAGAGAUCUGAAGGAAUACCGAUGGCGAAGGCAGCCUCCUGGCAUCAUACUGACACUGAGGCUCGAAAGCGUGGGUAGCAAACAGGAUUAGAUACCCUGGUAGUCCACGCCGUAAACGAUGUCUACUAGUCGUUGGGUCCCUUGAGGACUUAGUGACGCAGCUAACGCAAUAAGUAGACCGCCUGGGGAGUACGGCCGCAAGGUUAAAACUCAAAUGAAUUGACGGGGGCCCGCACAAGCGGUGGAGCAUGUGGUUUAAUUCGAUGCAACGCGAAGAACCUUACCUGGUCUUGACAUAUCUAGAAUCCUGCAGAGAUGCGGGAGUGCCUUCGGGAAUUAGAAUACAGGUGCUGCAUGGCUGUCGUCAGCUCGUGUCGUGAGAUGUUGGGUUAAGUCCCGCAACGAGCGCAACCCUUGUCCUUAGUUACCAGCGGGUUAAGCCGGGAACUCUAGGAUACUGCCAGUGACAA